Molecule: long non-coding RNA, 1584 nt
Filed under: Macaca mulatta (Rhesus monkey)
Lineage: Eukaryota; Metazoa; Chordata; Mammalia; Primates; Cercopithecidae
Description: lncRNA (ENSMMUG00000058859.1)
Source: RNAcentral
CUUGAGGGCAUCUUCAGUUUUUACUUUGCCACCAAAAGCAUGGUGGUUUUUGGACCUACACACAUCUCUGUGUGGCCGAACACCGUAGUAUUCACUGUCACAUUAGGCCUGGACCUACUUCGUGCAACCGCAGCUUAUCCAGUAGACGGGGCCAGCGGAGAAGGACCUGGGGGCCAGGAUGAAGGGAGGCCUUUGCAACAACACAUGAUGCUUUUGGGGGUCCUUCCUGAAGACAGUGGUGACCCCAGCAGCUGGAAAACGGGAAGCUCCUCCUCUCAGCUUCAGUUGUUCAUGAGUCAGGCCAUCGGUCUGGGGCAGAUGGGGCUGGCUUUUCCUGAACAUCCAAGGAGCAAACUAGAAUGGUGUCUCGCUGAUGACUUUGACGACAGCUCACGUGGGAGGGAAGUAUUUCAGCAAUCAGACCGAAGGAGAAUCCAAAAACCCCACUAUUGCGGGGUCAAGAGUGCACGUGUUUGAAUUCUGAAAGAUGUAAGCCAAGGCAAACAGAAGGAAAUGAUCUUCCACUAAUCCCUGCAUUUACUUCCUCCUCUCUGGAGGGGACGGCCACACACACAGAGCCCUGUGCUCUGACUUCUCCUGAAGGGGACACAGCCGGGCUCGCUCAGUGUCACCUCGCCCCUGGGGUGUGCCCGGGUUUCAGAUCUCAGGCUGGAGUGAUUCACGUGUAGCAGGGAGGCCGUCAUUAAUGAAAAUGCAGGGGCGUCGCGGGAGUGUUGAUGAUUCAGCAGGCCUUUCUACUUCUCUAUGAGUCAGUACCCGUCGCAGCCAAGCCUGGGGCAGAACAAGUUUUCUUAAAAGAGCAUGGGGGCCUCGUCUUCAACAACCAAUUAGGAGGCAGAAAAGUCCUCAGUGAGGAAGGAAUAAUGACAUGUUGGAGCUAAGAUGAUGGUGCUCAAGCCCGAGAGGCCCUUCCAGACGCCAGGCCCACAUGGACAAGGUGCGUCACUCCAGCUGAGGCCAGGGGACAGCGGGGGCACCAAGUACAGGGUGGACCAGACCACCAGAGCCAGGCCACGUGGGACUUGAAGCCAGAAACAGCCCAGGCCAUGAGGCCACGGGGCAUUCCCUGGAGUCGAAGGAAAGCAUGCCACUGUGCGGGUACGAGGCUGGGGGACCACGCUCCAUUCCACCCUCGUCCAAGCAGUCAGAGUGUGUGAAAUCCAGGAGUCACCAAACCUAAGUUUUGGAAAGAGGUGUCCUGUUCCCUUCCCAUUCCACUUAAGCAAACCACACCUCCCAAGAACGUUCUGAGCCGCUCUUAAAUACCAGAGCACAGAAGCGAAUAUGGCAAUUUUUACUGCUGGAAAAAGUGUACAUUCAGAUAAAAAAGAGACAGAAAAACAACUGUGGUGCAAUGUAACAUGUGCCCCAAGGGGGGCCACCCCUGCUCUCAUAUUUCUGAGGGUGCCCUGGUCGAAUACCACCUCAGUGUACCCUCUCUUUCCCUCUCUCACUCACUCCAUCGUUUCCUCCUCUCUAGGGGAGGAGAGACAUAACUCAUCCAUGAGUCUGGGGGAUGGAAUGGGCCCUUUGAAGUCCGAUGCCCUCUGCCUUCCUCUCCAG